This 491-nucleotide ribosomal RNA is filed under the name uncultured bacterium. Its description in RNAcentral is "partial 16S ribosomal RNA". It matches the Rfam family "Bacterial small subunit ribosomal RNA", at positions 29 to 507 of the family's 1533-position model. The record is from RNAcentral.
GUGAACGCUGGCGGUAGGCCUAACACAUGCAAGUCGAACGGCAGCACAGUAAGAGCUUGCUCUUACGGGUGGCGAGUGGCGGACGGGUGAGGAAUACAUCGGAAUCUACUUUUUCGUGGGGGAUAACGUAGGGAAACUUACGCUAAUACCGCAUACGACCUACGGGUGAAAGCAGGGGAUCUUCGGACCUUGCGCGAUUGAAUGAGCCGAUGUCGGAUUAGCUAGUUGGCGGGGUAAAGGCCCACCAAGGCGACGAUCCGUAGCUGGUCUGAGAGGAUGAUCAGCCACACUGGAACUGAGAAACGGUCCAGACUCCUACGGGAGGCAACAGUGGGGAAUAUUGGACAAUGGGCGCAAGCCUGAUCCAGCCAUACCGCGUGGGUGAAGAAGGCCUUCGGGUUGUAAAGCCCUUUUGUUGGGAAAGAAAAGCAGCAGGUUAAUACCCCGCUGUUCUGACGGUACCCAAAGAAUAAGCACCGGCUAACUUCGUG